RNAcentral lists this ribosomal RNA (495 nucleotides) under uncultured bacterium. RNAcentral's name for it is "partial 16S ribosomal RNA". It matches the Rfam family "Bacterial small subunit ribosomal RNA", at positions 28 to 507 of the family's 1533-position model. The record is from RNAcentral.
GACGAACGCUGGCGGCGUGCCUAAUACAUGCAAGUAGAACGCUGAAGGAGGAGCUUGCUUCUCUGGAUGAGUUGCGAACGGGUGAGUAACGCGUAGGUAACCUGCCUGGUAGCGGGGGAUAACUAUUGGAAACGAUAGCUAAUACCGCAUAAUAGCAGUUGUUGCAUGACAACUGUUUGAAAGGUGCAAUUGCACCACUACCAGAUGGACCUGCGUUGUAUUAGCUAGUUGGUGGGGUAACGGCUCACCAAGGCGACGAUACAUAGCCGACCUGAGAGGGUGAUCGGCCACACUGGGACUGAGACACGGCCCAGACUCCUACGGGAGGCAGCAGUAGGGAAUCUUCGGCAAUGGACGGAAGUCUGACCGAGCAACGCCGCGUGAGUGAAGAAGGUUUUCGGAUCAUAAAGCUCUGUUGUAAGAGAAGAACGAGUGUGAGAGUGGAAAGUUCACACUGUGACGGUAUCUUACCAGAAAGGGACGGCUAACUACGUG